Molecule: ribosomal RNA, 937 nt
Filed under: Amanita javanica
Lineage: Eukaryota; Fungi; Basidiomycota; Agaricomycetes; Agaricales; Amanitaceae
Description: eukaryotic LSU rRNA
Rfam family: Eukaryotic large subunit ribosomal RNA
Source: RNAcentral
UUGACCUCAAAUCAAGCAAGACUACCCGCUGAACUUAAGCAUAUCAAUAAGCGGAGGAAAAGAAACUAACAAGGAUUCCCCUAGUAACUGCGAGUGAAGCGGGAAAAGCUCAAAUUUAAAAUCUGACAGUGGUUUCACUGUCCGAAUUGUAAUCUAGAGAAGUGUUGCUCACACUGGACCAUGUAUAAGUCUUCUGGAAUGAAGCGUCAUAGAGGGUGAGAAUCCCGUCUUUGACAUGGACUGCCAGUGUAUUUGUAGCAUGCUCUCAAAGAGUCGAGUUGUUUGGGAAUGCAGCUCUAAAUGGGUGGUAACCUCCAUCUAAAGCUAAAUAUUGGCGAGAGACCGAUAGUGAACAAGUACCGUGAGGGAAAGAUGAAAAGAACUUUGGAAAGAGAGUUAAAAAGUACGUGAAAUUGUUGAAAGGGAAACGCUUGAAGUCAGUCACAUUGGCCAGGGAUCAACUUAUUUUGCUUAAGUGUACUUCCUGGUUGAUGGGCCAACAUCAGCUUUGACUGUCAGAGAAGGGUAGGGGGAAUGUGGCACCCUCUUGGGUGUGUUAUAGCCCUCUGUCUUAUAUGGCAGUUGGGGCUGAGGAAUGCAGCGCGCCACAAGGCCGGGCUUCGACCACGUUCGCGCUUAGGAUGUUGGCAUAAUGGCUUUAAUCGACCCGUCUUGAAACACGGACCAAGGAGUCUAACAUGCCUGCGAGUGUUUGGGUGGAAAACCCGAGUGCAUAAUGAAAGUGAAAGUUGAGAUCCCUGUCAUGGGGUGCAUCGACGCCCGGACCUGAGCUUUUUAGCAAUGGCUCUGCGGUAUAGCAUGUAUGUUGGGACCCGAAAGAUGGUGAACUAUGCCUGAAUAGGGCGAAGCCAGAGGAAACUCUGGUGGAGGCUCGUAGCGAUUCUGACGUGCAAAUCGAUCGUCGAAUUUGGGUAUA